AUGGCCAGAAAAUGAUGAAAAGCAGAACCCAGGAGGAUGAAAACAUAGUGUUGCAGUCUAUGGAUUCUUCUGGAAUUAAUUGGUCAUUGGACAAAUCAUAUCUUGCAAGAUAAUUGGUUUGAGUUGCUUUUAGCUGAAUCUUUAAUGGUCAAUCUUGCCAUCUUGAUUACUUUGAUUGGGGUAGGUAAGAGUAAAGAAAUUCAGGAAUCAGCUUCUUUGUCUUGUUAUCAAGUUGGUUGCUGGCUAAGUUGCAUCUCAGCCUCGUGGUUUGAUGCUCACCAUUUAGAAGGUCAUCUAUAUGGCUUAUAAUUUCAGUAGCGUAAUAAACAGAUGUAUGGAUCAGCUCUAACACCAUCACUGGGUAUCCUGAAAUCUGCUGAUCUGACUUCAUUUACACCUAUUCUGACUCUACAUGGACAAACCUAGGGGGAAUUUAGUGAUGCUUUACAAUCGAACAAACAUUGUGCUGUUUGAUAUGGUCUCUUGAUUAGCUGUUAUGUUUUUUGUGUCCAUUCGCUAUGUUUCUCUACCUUAUAAUGUGGCAGUUGUUCAACUCAUGCAUGAUGCAUAUUCCAGGAUGCCUUCCUGGAGUCAAGAAUCAGAUGAUCUACACCUUCCAGGGAAGAGCAAGAGAACAGAAAGUUGCUGAUGGAUUGCCUCUGUGGAUGUCACUUGCCUUAUCUUCUGGCCCAACACAAUGGAGAGAGAGAGAGAGUCCCUAUCAAGGCCAACCUUAUUCCCUGUGGCAAUGGUCUGAGCUUCUCUGCUGCUCGAUGUCAGGAUUAAGGCCUCUACUGCUCAAUCUGUGACCACAGCUUUUGUGUACAACUUUAAAUCCUAUGGGCACAAUGUCAGGAAACAAAAGUAUGAAAGAGUUCUAUUUUAUUUCCUUAUUUGAA
Long non-coding RNA from Musa acuminata AAA Group (dessert banana), 899 nucleotides. RefSeq lists it as uncharacterized. The transcript has 3 exons. NCBI's taxonomy places the organism in Eukaryota, Viridiplantae, Streptophyta, Magnoliopsida, Zingiberales, Musaceae. The record is from RefSeq and is a predicted model, not a curated record.